UAAUACAGAGGUCUCAAGCGUUGUUCGGAUUCAUUGGGCGUAAAGGGUGCGUAGGCGGCGAGGUAAGUCGGAUGUGAAAUCUCAGGGCUCAACCCUGAAACUGCAUUCGAUACUGCCUUGCUCGAGGACUCGAGAGGAGAUUGGAAUUCACGGUGUAGCAGUGAAAUGCGUAGAUAUCGUGAGGAAGACCAGUGGCGAAGGCGGAUCUCUGGAGAGUUCCUGACGCUGAGGCACGAAGGCCAGGGGAGCAAACGGGAUUAGAUACCCCGGUAGUCCUGGCAGUAAACGGUGCACGUUUGGUGUGGGAGGAUUCGACCCCUUCCGUGCCGGAGCUAACGCGUUAAACGUGCCGCCUGGGGAGUACGGUCGCAAGAUUA
RNAcentral lists this ribosomal RNA (377 nucleotides) under uncultured bacterium. RNAcentral describes it as "bacterial SSU rRNA". It matches the Rfam family "Bacterial small subunit ribosomal RNA", at positions 521 to 896 of the family's 1533-position model. The record is from RNAcentral.